UCGAGAAUUUUUCACAAUGGGGGAAACCCUGAUGGAGCGACGCCGCGUGGGGGAUGAAGGGCUUCGGUCCGUAAACCCCUGUCAUUGGCGAACAAGGGUUGCGUCCUAAUACGACGUAACUUGAUAGUAGUCGAAGAGGAAGGGACGGCUAACUCUGUGCCAGCAGCCGCGGUAAUACAGAGGUCCCGAGCGUUGUUCGGAUUCACUGGGCGUAAAGGGUGCGUAGGUGGUUGGGUAAGUUUGAGGUGAAAGCUCCGAGCUCAACUCGGAAAAUGCCUUGAAUACUAUCUGGCUAGAGGAUUGGAGGGGAGACUGGAAUUCUCGGUGUAGCAGUGAAAUGCGUAGAUAUCGAGAGGAACACCAGUGGCGAAGGCGAGUCUCUGGACAAUUCCUGACACUG
Molecule: ribosomal RNA, 400 nt
Filed under: uncultured bacterium
Lineage: Bacteria
Description: bacterial SSU rRNA
Rfam family: Bacterial small subunit ribosomal RNA
Source: RNAcentral